AUGGACCGUGCGGCGGCCAGCGCACAUGCUGGCUCAACCUCCUGGACACUCCGCAGCGCCUCGACCCCAGUGCCUCGGCUUGUUUCUCAUCCCCACAGUUUCCUGGGAUCAACCACAAAGCCUCAACUGCCACAAAGAGGGGAAACCAGCCCCUCCCCCAACAAGACCGCCAGGGGUGGGGAAGGGCACGGAGCAGCCCCUCCCCGGCUGCGGGCCAGGAGCAAACACCUGGGACUUCAUCUUUUGUAUUUUCCUGGAGAGGGGAAGACCAGUUUGUGUCUGCUGAGAUCUCAGCCGGUGCCCGGAACUCAGAGGCGGGGACGGAGGCGACAGCCCCUCCUAAGUCCUCCAUGGCAUGAAGGACACAGAAGCAUCUCUGCCAAGGACGCUGACCCCGGUGUGGGCCCCUGGCACGAGCCAGUCAGCUUCUGCUUCCCACCUGCGCUGGAGCCUGGGGCCCAACCUGGCCAUGUGGGAAGGGGAGGUCCCUCCACAGCCUGCGGCCAAGCCAGUGAUCCCACCCAGAACGGUGCAGGGCCUGGCUCAGGUGGACACGGCUUCAGGCCCCCAGGUCAGCCCCAUCGGAGGCUCUGUGUGCGGCCUGGUGUCCCUGGCUGUCCACUAACGCCAAAGGCUUCCCCUGGAGGAUGCUUUGGGUUCACCCCCGGGGACCUCCCAUGGGCUCCCGGGCCCUUAGGGGCAUCUGUGUUGCCUGCUGGGAAUUGGGCUGACGCUCUUAGGAAAGUUUGCUGUUUGUUGGGUCUAGAGAGCCCCGAGAGAGAGCAAGGCUUGGCUGAAGGGUCCCUGGGUUUGGGCCUCCGCCCCGGUGCCUGCAGGCAGGGUCUAGGUGCCGGGAUCUCUGUCUCAGGGCCCAGGGGACAGCUGAGAGGAGCUGAGCAGAGCAUGGGCCUCCCCCUGGUUUUCAGCCCCUCGACACCUGUCUACAGGGGUGCUGGCGGGCAUCUCUCUGGGCUGAGGGGUUUGUGUCAGUGCCCAGGCCCCGGGGGGCAAACGCCAACAUUCCCUAUUCCUAAAGCAGGGUCUGGCUGGGUUUGUUUGCCAGGAGCUUUGAGACCAGAAUAG
This 1083-nucleotide long non-coding RNA is filed under the name Oryctolagus cuniculus (rabbit). RNAcentral's name for it is "lncRNA (ENSOCUG00000031758.1)". Lineage: Eukaryota; Metazoa; Chordata; Mammalia; Lagomorpha; Leporidae. The record is from RNAcentral.